UUUCCGUAGGUGAACCUGCGGAAGGAUCAUUACAGUAGUCACCCAGGUUGCCGCAAGGCCUCCUGGGUAACCUACCGCCCUUUGUUUAUUACACUUUGUUGCUUUGGCAAGCCUGCCCUCGAGCUGCUGGCUCCGGCCGGCGAGCGCUUGCCAGAGGACCUAAACUCUGUUUGUCUAUACUGUCUGAGUACUAUAUAAUAGUUAAAACUUUCAACAACGGAUCUCUUGGUUCUG
Molecule: unclassified non-coding RNA, 234 nt
Filed under: plant metagenome
Description: partial contains small subunit ribosomal RNA, internal transcribed spacer 1, and 5.8S ribosomal RNA
Source: RNAcentral